CAGCGAUCCCUUUUUAAAAUACCAUAUUUAUUGUAAAUACUUCCUCCAUUUACUUAUACAAGGAUAUUAUUAAAUAUACAUUUUGCAUCAAUACAAGGCUACCAACAGUAACUAGUAACUGAGAUAAAAAAUAAUAAUGACAUUUUCUCGCACUAGCAAUCUAUUUAAUACUUGCAUGUGUGCAGUCAUAAUGACAUCUAGCUACUUCCUCGUUCAACAUCCAAUUAGUUUCCUAUCCCUGCCGUCCAUAACGAAAAAAAAGCGAGCUUAAAAAGUAUAAAUUAAACUUGGUAGUUG
Molecule: long non-coding RNA, 297 nt
Filed under: Hordeum vulgare
Lineage: Eukaryota; Viridiplantae; Streptophyta; Magnoliopsida; Poales; Poaceae
Description: long non-coding RNA (HVUL_LNC008267)
Source: RNAcentral